GGUCACAGUUUGCGGCAGGACGUCUGUCCUCAAAAUAACCGUGUCCACUGCGGAAGACUUGUCCGGGGAUGCGAACACUGACGUCACGCGCAGCUACAGCUGAAGAGAAUUCCUUGAAACUGGAGCCACCACGUGUUGCCAGGGUGAAAGGAGGACGGACAAGACAAGACAUAGGCCUUUUGGCAUUUAUGAAAGAGAGGAGUAUGGAUUUUGUGAACAAAUAAUCAGAACUUUUGUGCUGAAGUUGACGUGGCCGCCUGAGGGACAAAGGUGUCCACUGACAGGUUGUACGUCCAGGGUGGCAAUAACCUUAAACUCUUCACAGACACGAUGGAGAAUAUAACGAGCCAUCCACAGAUGGUCCCCCAUUU
Cynoglossus semilaevis (tongue sole) is the source of this 371-nucleotide long non-coding RNA. RefSeq lists it as uncharacterized. The transcript is spliced from 4 exons. Lineage: Eukaryota; Metazoa; Chordata; Actinopteri; Pleuronectiformes; Cynoglossidae. The record is from RefSeq and is a predicted model, not a curated record.